AAUGUAUAAUUUAUGGAGAUUGUUAAUGAUUAUAAUGAUUAUAUUCUAAAAAAUGUAUGUGUUUCAGAUGAAGCCAGGGGUGUUGUAUAUUCUUUGAUUGAGAUUAAAAAACGCCAUGAAAUCAAUGGAGAGAAAAGUAAACCAGACAAAGGGUGUGUUUACUCGAAUUUGAAGAUACGAUCACAUGCAGAUGAUGAUCAGAUGUACGCCCAAGUGCAGUCAUGCAGUAAAGACAA
Long non-coding RNA from Solea solea (common sole), 236 nucleotides. RefSeq lists it as uncharacterized. Lineage: Eukaryota; Metazoa; Chordata; Actinopteri; Pleuronectiformes; Soleidae. The record is from RefSeq and is a predicted model, not a curated record. The transcript has 3 exons.